UUGAAAGCUUCGGCUUCUUUGAUGUUUACCACCCCUGAUGAUUUCUAUAUCUAUUGUUGCUUCCACCCACUUUGUAGGUUGUAUGCCUAUAUUUGUUGGUGGAUAGAUUAUAAAACUUACUAUUGUCUUAUAAGCUAUGUCAUUGUCUGAAUUUAUGAUGAAUAAAAAACAUCUUA
Molecule: unclassified non-coding RNA, 176 nt
Filed under: uncultured fungus
Lineage: Eukaryota; Fungi
Description: sequence contains ITS1
Source: RNAcentral